GUGCCAGCAGCCGCGGUAAGACGUAGGGGGCGAGCGUUGUCCGGAUUCAUUGGGCGUAAAGCGCGCGUAGGCGGCUGCGCAAGUCGGUUGUGAAAUUCCGGGGCUCAACCCCGGAACUGCGUCCGAUACUGCGUGGCUAGAGGUAGGUAGGGGAGAUCGGAAUUCCUGGUGUAGCGGUGAAAUGCGCAGAUAUCAGGAGGAACACCGGUGGCGAAGGCGGAUCUCUGGGCCUUACCUGACGCUCAGGCGCGAAAGCUAGGGGAGCGAACAGGAUUAGAUACCCUAGUAGUCC
Molecule: ribosomal RNA, 292 nt
Filed under: uncultured bacterium
Lineage: Bacteria
Description: partial 16S ribosomal RNA
Rfam family: Bacterial small subunit ribosomal RNA
Source: RNAcentral